AAGGAUCAUUACUGAGUUGUUGACAUGAGCUGUUGCUGGUCCUCAAAACAAGGGGGCAUGUGCACGCUCUGUUCACACAUCCACUCACACCUGUGCACCAACCGUAGUUCUAUGGUCUGGAGGACUCACCGUCCUCUUCCCGUGGUUCUAUGUCUUUACACAUACACCGUAGUGAAGUCUUAUGGAAUGUGCGCCGCGUUUAACGCAAUACAAUACAACUUUCAGCAACGGAUCUCUUGGCUCUC
RNAcentral lists this unclassified non-coding RNA (245 nucleotides) under uncultured fungus. RNAcentral's name for it is "partial contains 18S rRNA, ITS1, 5.8S rRNA, ITS2 and 28S rRNA". The record is from RNAcentral. Lineage: Eukaryota; Fungi.